UGCGCAGGUGGCCAAGUGUGUGAGGCGUGAAAGCCCGGAGCUCAACUCCGGAAUUGCACCUCAAACUACAUGGCUAGAGCAUUGGAGAGGGGAGCAGAAUUCACGGUGUAGCAGUGAAAUGCGUAGAUAUCGUGAGGAAUACCAGAGGCGAAGGCGGCUCCCUGGACAAUAGCUGACACUCAGGCACGAAAGCGUGGGGAGCAAAAGGGAUUAGAUACCCCUGUAGUCCACGCCCUAAACGGUGCACACUAGGUCUUGGAGGAUUCGACCCCUUCAGGGCCCAAGCUAACGCGUUAAGUGUGCCGCCUGGGGACUACGGCCGCAAGGCUAAAA
RNAcentral lists this ribosomal RNA (333 nucleotides) under uncultured bacterium. RNAcentral describes it as "bacterial SSU rRNA". It matches the Rfam family "Bacterial small subunit ribosomal RNA", at positions 568 to 899 of the family's 1533-position model. The record is from RNAcentral.